Molecule: non-coding RNA, 4934 nt
Organism: Chlorocebus sabaeus (green monkey)
Lineage: Eukaryota; Metazoa; Chordata; Mammalia; Primates; Cercopithecidae
Source: RefSeq, a predicted model, not a curated record
AAGAAGAAGAAGAAGAAGAAGAAGAAGAAGAAGAAGAAGAAAGUAUUGUCACUGUUGUUCAGGCUCUUCAAGAUUAGUCACCCAGCAGAUAUGCUGGCUCCAGGUGACCUCUACCAGUAGCAUAGCCCCCAACAGGAGAUUCCCAGGCUUGGCAUUAAUACCUGCCAGGCACUGAGGAUGUAAAAAUGAACAUGCCAUAACUUAGUCUUCGAGGUGCGCAGCUCAGCAAAGGAUGUGGAGGUAUACACAAACAUCUUAGGUACAAGCAUCACAGCUUCCAGAGCGGGAUGCUCAGUGUGAUGCAGCACAGAGAAGGGGUUCUGGGAGGACAGUCCAAGGCUGAGGGGCUGCAGGAGGCUUUAAAAUCAAAGUAGCAUUGGAGUUGGGUCUGGAAAGAUGGCCAAGGCCAGGAAGGACAAGACUUGCAGAAUUAUGGAGAUGUAAGAAUGCUAGCUAGUGAUCAAGUGAUUUCAUGGGAGCAGAACACAGGGUGCCGAGGUUGAAGUUGAUGGGGCUGGAUGGGGAGAUGAGGUCGGGUCUUGGGCUAUUGGGUGGAGUUUGGAAAAUGGGUAGGGGGAGGAAGAAAAGUAGUAAAGAUUUAAGGCUAUAGAGGAGGAGGACUCAAUCCAAUGGUGGAGUGGGCAGCAGUCAGGAAUAGGAGGAAGCAGCAUAAAGGAGGGUGAUCAGGACACUGUCACACACACCCAGGCUUGUGACUAUGAAGUUCUGAACCAGGACAGUGAUGCUAGGCUGGCCGAAAAGGUGUUCUGGUCAGCUAUGGCCAAGAGGCCACACUGAAGGGUGACACUCAGCUCUCCGACUCCCUUGGCCUCUUUAACUACAGACUUAGGCUGGGUCAGCUUGACCUCAAACUACAUUAACUUAAAAUAUCAAAAUGGCAAUCAUUUACUUAGAUGAAUGAGCAGCUUUGGAAGUGCAGAAGCUUGAACUGUGGGUUGACUUUGCAGCAGGUUGGCCCCAUAAUGGGUGACUAAUUGAGCCGGUUACUCAUUGCUGAAAGGGUUUGAGAAAAAAUGAUAACCGGCAAUUUGAGGAAUACUUGAGAGUUUUUCUCACAGUGUGACACUGACUGGAUGAAUUUUAAAACUUCGCUAACGUCCAAUAGUCUAUGAUUCUAAUGUCCAGACAGAUGGUCAAAGGAGAACCCUGUCUUUAAUGGGUUCAUGCUCCAAAGACUAACUUAUAGCUAUAGGGCAGAGUUGGGUUUCUAAAUCCGGUUGGGUCUGUAUGCUAUGACUGCACAUGAAAAGAUUCCAAGUGAAAACCAGUGCUGCUGGUGACUCAUCUUACUGAAGUGUCUUUCUAAGCUACAGGAGCUCAAGGAGGUGGCCUACAAUCACUCUGCAGAAGGAGACGCUGGGCAGGGGGGGAAUCUGCUGAGGUCCCCGCCCGUUCUCUCUGUGUCACUUUUGACAGACUCUUGUUCUGUUCGCAUCCUCUAUGUGUCAUCCAUUUCUAAAAUGAGGAAGGAAGUCCCAGUGGGGCCUGAGGAGUCUGGAACGUCACAGUCCCAUGUGGGUCAGGGCUGUUCUCUUGGAUAAACUGGGAGAUGCCUCCCUCUACACAUAUGGAAGAGGCUGUGCGUCAUUGGAGUAGAAAACCACCUAGACACGAGUAUCAAGAUCUCUCCGUGCUGGAGGCAAGGUUGGCUUGCGUUGGGUUCCACGUUUUCAGGCCCCCGCAACAUGACUAAGGAUAGAGCAGAAAUGUCAAGAUUUAUUCAGGCCAGCCAUCUUGCCUUUCGUUCUUUCCUUCCCAGGGCCCCUGCUCACAUCAAACUGGGCCUCUUGCUGUCCUCCUACACCCUUAGCACCUCCCAGCCUCCAACACCUGACUCCCUUGGCAUUGCAAUUUCUCAUUUACUAAUUCAAUAACUUCUCUGUGCAAUAAUCUGCAUACUCAGAGUGCAUUCCUUUCCCCUAACACACCCAGAACUUCAUACUGUGUCCUUCCUCACACUGAGCCCUCACUCCCGUCCCCAUUUCAUACUGUUGAAUUCUUGCCCCUCCUUCAAGGCCUGCUGGAAUGCCACCUCUUCCAUAAAGUCUUCGCUUAAUCCACAGUUGAAAUAAAAGUUCAUUUGAGGCCCUUAUAACAUGUUGUACCUAUAACGAUGUGAUGAUCUCUCCAUAUUACAGCGACUUAGGUAAAUGUCCCAUAUCAACACCACAAGCUCCUUAAGAUCAUGAACUGCACCUUAUCCUAACUGGUAUCUCUAGCUCCAGGCAUGGUGCCAAGUAUACAGAAGGUGCUCCAAUAAGGAUUAGGGAAAUAUGGAUCAUGAUUUCUAAAAUCCCCACCAUGUACACAUGCCUCAGAUCCCUUAGGAGACUGGAACAUUUUAUUCAGGACGUGUAUUACCUGUGGAUAGCUCUCUCCAAAGCUACAAUGAAUUUAUCAGUAUGAUCAUGAACAGUCUGAAUUAUUUAUAUACAAGCAUGAGCUUAAAAGUUUCUUUAAAAAUAUUAUCCAAAUGCAUCAUAUCUUUUCAGUUUAUGAAAAAUUUAUUUUUCUUUUUAUGCCGUGAAAAAUCCAUUUAAAGACAACACAUACUCUAAUGAAAUAAAUAGAGCAGAAAGGUCUCUGUGAACACCUUUGGGCUGGUACUAGCUCUGUGUAAACUUCAACCCACAUGCUCUGGGCCUUGUGUCUCUAAACACAAAAACAACCAGCCUAAUGAAAAUGGAGACCAUCUAUCAAUUGUCUGCAUGCAGAGAAUUUGCCCAAGUACUUGAAAAUGUAAUUGGCUGAAUGUUUACAGGUCUAAUGAAGUGUUUUCCAUCCCAAUGUAAUGGCAAUAUUGGGCACAAAUCAAACAUUUGAGGAGGCCAAAAGGUGCACAAAGUCAGUAUUUCAGUAUUUUUCCCUGGCAUUAAAAAUUGAUAAUAACUGAAAAUUGGGGAAGGUAAAAGAAGCAUUUGUCUGUAUCAGACAAAGAAUAGAAUCAGACCGUUCAGUUGACCACAGAAAAAUGGAAGAGGAAGGAUGUUUGAAAUAGUUUCUUAUCAUCUUUGCCUACAAGUCAGAAGUCUUUUCCCCUGCUUUAUUUUGCAUAUUCUCAGUCCCAAAGCCUGGAUGCCUCCCCUAGGGUGUGUGAUGAGCACCUACAUGGGAAACUUCCAGGGACACAGCCCGGUUCUCUGAUGCAUCCUCAGCUCCCUGGCGUUGCAGCCUUCCUCUUGCUAUCUAAGGAGCCUGCGUUAGGAUGCUGUUACCACCCGGGGCAGAGGCCAGUGUCCUUGCAUGAGACUUUGUCACCGUGAUUUGAGCCUUCUGUGGGGCUUCACAUGUCAGUUGAGAGGCAGAGAGUGACAUUUUCAGAUUCCAAGGUGAUCCCUCCCUCAUUUCUCCUGACAGGUUCCUCUUAGAAGCAAAAGCCGAGGUCCCAUUCCUUUAGAAGAGAUUGGGCCCACGCAAAACUCAGGGAUCAAGUUGUUGGAUUUUUACCCCUAAUCAGAGAAAUUUCAGCUGCUUUAACAGUCAGUUUCUACAAACUUACUUGGGUUCACCAUCCAUCCACCCCCUUCCGCCUUCUGAUGGCAGGGACACACGAUGGACCAUCAUUGACUAUGAUAAGGUUUUCCCUGAUCUCUAGUCUGACAUCAGGCUCUGACACUGACCUUCCUUAAAUGAAGCUCCUGGAUCAGAUGCCUUCUAAAGCUGCAGAAAUGGAAGCCUGUGGAAAGUUCUCUUGGGUAACGUAGAAUGCAACAGCCAUUGAAGUGGCUGGGUGUGGCAGACCAAAGCCUUCUGAAGAAAAGGAAGAAGUGAUAUCAUUGCAAUCCACUAGCAGGCCUUGCACUUGAAGAGGGAAAUGAGAGCUGUGUGGAGACUUCUCUCAGCCGGCGUGUCUGCUAUGCUUAUGCAGGUUGGUACAAAGUAGAACCAAGCUUUGAAACUGGUGAUGCUGGAAAGACCCCUGCCCUCAGAUCUUAUUGGAAAAUCAGCUCUUCUCUAAAAGGAGCAGGAGGUGGAGACUGCAACAAACUCUGCUGAGGGGUCAGGGCUGACAGGCCUUUGUGAUGGAUUCCAGUCUCUAUGACUCACCAUUGUAAAUUGGCAAGUAACUCCAAUGGUCAAAUAGACAGCAUUGCUGUUUGGGAGCAGCAGGACAAAGAGGCAAGCCUGGGGCUUUUGAGUCAUUUUAUCUAAAAAGGAAUCCCAGCUGGUCCUUCACCUGUGGCGUGACCUUGGGCAGAAAUUUCCUCUCUCCCAGCCUUAGUUUCCUCAUCAGCAAAAUGAGAUGCUAAUAACCAUCUUGCAGAGUUGUGGAAAGGAUGGAAUGCAAAGUACAUGGAAUCUAGGAAGAGCUUACUUAAAGUUAGAUUUUAUUCUUCCUUGGCAGAAUCUGGGUCAGAACUUGGGCCAGCUCCAUGAAGGGUGCAACACUGGGUUUUUUUCUAAAAGUGCUGCGGACAUAGGGACAGCCCAAGCCCAUACAAUCUGGGAGUGGGGACAGCUGCCAAAUGAGGGAAGAGUGGCUUCAGAAGGCUCAGGGUCAAGGGCUGAAAUCGGCGCACACAUAUUUGUAGGCAAAGAUGGUAAGGAAGCUAUUUCCAACAUCCUUUCUAUUCCAUUUUUCUGUGGCAGACUGAACUGCUUGAUUCUAUGCUUUGCUAAUGCAGACACAUGCUUUCUUUCCCCCCCUGGUUUUCCAUUCUUAUGUAUUUUUAAUGCCAGGGAGAAACACUAACUUUGUGCACUGUUUGGCCUCCUCAAAUGUCUGAUUUGUGCCCAAUAUUAUCAUUGCACUUGGGGCAGAAAACCUUUAGUCAGCCCUGUUAUUUCAUGAGCACUUUUUACGUGCCAGCUCAGGUAAUGCAAUGGUGAAUAAGGCAGGUGCUGUGUAGCCUCAUGGAAUUUACAGGCUAAGGCUAGUCUUGGAAAAAUAAAAGGUUACCUCUUAAAGGAAA